AUUGAAUCCAAGUCUUACAGCCAAACAUGAAGAAAAUCAUUAAGGCCUCUGUGCAGAAUUUCACUUAUUUUUCAUCAGUGAAGCAAAGGAGUAGGAAGCACUCCAGGAAUGGUUAAGAGUGUAGACUCUGGCUGGCUCUGGUUGAAUUCUGGCUCUGAACUUAUUAGCUCUAUGACCUCAGCUAAGAUCAGUUCAAAGAAAGAUGGAACUAAACAAUACAAAAAGAAAAUGCCUUCGGCCGCUCAGUGAAGUGGGACAGGGAGAAAGGGGAAGAAUCAGAAGCUCCUGUCUGGUGCCGGCUUCUAAAACCACUGAUCUGGAGAUUGUGUUUAUCACACUUCUAACCAACAUGGCUAAAGUUCAAACACUCAUUAGGACACUAUAAAACCCUUCCUGGGUUUAAAUGAGAUGGGAUGGUGCAUAACCUCCCAGGUAUGGGGCACAGAACACCAAAGCAUGAAGGUGGCUGGAGACCCGUAGGGACUCUUGGUGAGGCUGGAGUGUGAAAGGCAGUUUGGAACAGGGUGGAAAAGGAGGGAAAGGCCAGAUGACACGAGGUCUGAAUGGUGCAAAGCACCUCCUAAGCCCGUCCUGCUGCCAGAGCCUUCCCCGUUCCCAUGUUUAGCAUCAUCCACAUGAGCCCUUUAAUGUCUUAAAUCCAGUGACAAGCGGACUCAGCACGGGGUGCGUGUUACCUAAACCACUCCUAUUCUGGUGCAGUGGCAGCCACAGAGCAGCUUUGCCCCCAGAAAUUUUUGAUGGAAUAUUCCUAAUAAUUACUAAUGUUUUCCUGUCUGAUGAAUGAGAAACAAAACACUCUCAAAUUCAGUGAGAAAAAAAUCCCUGCCAUCUCUUGUGGAGAGGCAGUGGCCAUUUAGGAGGUCCCUAUACAAAAGAAAACUAUGGAGCUCAGUGAAGAGGAUCAAACUGCCCCAUCCAUCAAAGGGGAAGAAUAUAAAUCCAUAGAUGAUCCCUGAAGAUGUCAGUGGACCCCACUAUCUAUCUUGGAGUAUCAGAGCAGAGUUUGUGUGGGUCUCAGAGAUGAACCCUAAUUCACAGCUCACACUCUGCCCAGGGCCCAGUGCUACCCAGCAGACAAAUGGGCAGACCAUCUCCUCCAGUGCAGCCUGCAGAAACAAUAUUCAACACAUCAGAUCCUGAGAAGAGCUUGAGAACUGAAUUGGUUUAGUUGUUCAACGCAGAGAAAACAAAACCAUUCUAAACUCUCGGAUAGCAUGGCUUAACACACUACCCAAUUACAUCAGUGAGCCCAUGGAGUGAACUUGCCCUCCAAGUUCAUUUGACUAUCACAUUGUUUAAAAUAUAUAUAUAUAUACAUGAUCUGCCCUUGUUAAAAAAAAUACAUUGUUAAAAAAUAACCUAUAUGUGAUCUGUCAACAUUUUAAAAUCAGGAAAUUUCAUAUAAUACAGAGUUCUGGCUUAAAAAAUAAUGAAAUGGGACAAUCCUGCAGAAUGGUCCACAUUCUGUCAGCAGAAAUGAAAUCUCCCCCUUUAUUAGGGCAUGCAGUGUCCCUAGAAACCCACUGUACUGAUUUAUGUAUUUGCCUGGCCCCUAUAGUAGACAUUGAGUUGGUAAUCCUUGAGUCACAGAUCACACAAGUAAAUAUAGUAACUAAAUAUCUCACUCUUCUCCAGCUUAUAGAAGAGAUUGACAGACAUUUUCUUUCUUCCCUUUACUUGAACUUUGCUAGCUGAAAAAAAAAAGCCAAUAAAAAAAUUCAAUGUUUUUUAAAGAAACAAAAAUCAUAUUGAGUUGAAAACAUAAGGGAAAUUCUACUUUUUUUUGGUACUAAUGAGUCCAUUUGAAUUAUCUUUGGAAUGGAUAAGAGAAUUUAUCUGUGUGGAAGGGUGGAGGAGAAAGUGGGGGGUUUAUCUUAUUCUCUAGAAAAUCUUCUGCUGAAGCCAGAAUCUCCCCAACGAUGAGCAGAAUUAAGGAGAAGAAGCAGAUCUAUGGAAAUGCAAAAUUUCCCUGUCAUAAGAAUAAACUCUAGAAGAUUAAUUUUUAGCUUCAACAUAGAAUGAAGUUAUAGCUCUUUGAUAAAUGAUGUUCUUUGUUGUCAUGACAAUGGGGCCUGUAGGGAGGGGUGCAUAAAGAGGCCUGCCCAUAAAUCUGAACAUUUUAAGAAGGGGUUAAAACAAACAUCUCUAGACUAUUCCCAA
Molecule: long non-coding RNA, 2181 nt
Organism: Manis javanica (Malayan pangolin)
Lineage: Eukaryota; Metazoa; Chordata; Mammalia; Pholidota; Manidae
Source: RefSeq, a predicted model, not a curated record